GAUGAAGAACGUAGCGAAAUGCGAUAAGUAAUGUGAAUUGCAGAAUUCAGUGAAUCAUCGAGUCUUUGAACGCACAUUGCGCCCCCUGGUAUUCCGGGGGGCAUGCCUGUCCGAGCGUCAUUGCUGCCCUCAAGCACGGCUUGUGUGUUGGGUCUCCGUCCUCCUCCCGGGGGACGGGCCCGAAAGGCAGCGGCGGCACCGCGUCCGGUCCUCGAGCGUAUGGGGCUUCGUCACCCGCUCUUGUAGGCCCGGCCGGCGCUUGCCGACACAUCAAUCUUUUUUCCAGGUUGACCUCGGAUCAGGUAGGGAUACCCGCUGAACUUAAGCAUAUCAAUAAGCGGAGGA
RNAcentral lists this unclassified non-coding RNA (345 nucleotides) under soil metagenome. RNAcentral's name for it is "partial contains 5.8S ribosomal RNA, internal transcribed spacer 2, and large subunit ribosomal RNA". The stretch from base 1 to 120 matches the Rfam family "5.8S ribosomal RNA", at positions 35 to 154 of the family's 154-position model. The record is from RNAcentral.